Molecule: long non-coding RNA, 607 nt
Organism: Mercurialis annua (annual mercury)
Lineage: Eukaryota; Viridiplantae; Streptophyta; Magnoliopsida; Malpighiales; Euphorbiaceae
Exons: 3
Source: RefSeq, a predicted model, not a curated record
GUGUGCGAAAACACAGUGAGACGUGCGCUCGCACAGUGUUUUAGCCGAUCGAUACGUUUUGGGAAUUUGCUCGUUUACGCGUAAUGUUAUCGGAAUUGAUUAGUUUAUCGAUAAUUAUCCAUUAGUUCAAAUUAUUUAACCUAAUGAGGUUAAACGAUAAUUGAUUUAAAAGUGAUUUUUGAUCCAUAAACGAGUUUGAUACCGUUUAUCGGGAUGUACGUGAGAAGCACGACGAUUAAUAAGAGUGGUGUGUCGUGUUUCGAGUCAAUUUUAGAAUAGGAUUCUAAUGUAAGCCAACUGUUAUAAAAUUUGUUUUAGAUGCGGUGAGGCAUGAAGCAGCUGGACCAGGAGUUCGGGAAGCUUGACGUUUCUAAGCCCCGGCGUAUUUUUGGAUAAGCGUUUUCAAUUUCCUUUCAGGUGAAAGACACUUUUGAAGCAACGGACUUCUAUUUUUGAUCCAGAAGUCUGUAUUUUUGAGGUAGUCAAAGUCAGAUCAGACAAACCAUUUUUGUUGUGCCAGAAGUCGAUUGACUUGCACAGAGUAUGAGUUCCUAAAAUUGUUGUAGUCAGUAGGUGUCAGUAUAAGAUUUGUGAUUUGAUUUCAAAC